RNAcentral lists this transfer RNA (66 nucleotides) under Xylophagaidae sp. E23. RNAcentral's name for it is "tRNA-Val". RNAcentral also lists the same sequence under 1 other name. Lineage: Eukaryota; Metazoa; Mollusca; Bivalvia; Myida; Xylophagaidae. The record is from RNAcentral.
AAGGGGGUAGCAUAUGAAGUGUUUUUUGCUUACAACAAAACGGUGGAGGCAAUCCUCCCCCUCUUA